This 558-nucleotide long non-coding RNA is filed under the name Rosa chinensis. RNAcentral describes it as "sRNA RchiOBHm_Chr6g0271601". The record is from RNAcentral. Lineage: Eukaryota; Viridiplantae; Streptophyta; Magnoliopsida; Rosales; Rosaceae.
CGUCGUCGUCGAGGUGGGAUCGAAUUUGGGAUCCUGGGAAAUCAAGUGCUUGAGGUGGGCGAUGAUGGCAUGGUUCUCGUUGCGUUCCGGAUCGUCAGCUUGGGCCGGGGGUGGUGACACUUUCGGAGUAGAGAGGAGGCCUGCCACGCGCCGCCGAUGGCCCGUCGACGCAUCCGACUGGGGGCGCCGGAGGCGGGAGUAGGUCUGGCGGCGGGACCCGGCGCUCUCAUUGAAUUGGGAUCGGUCGAUUUUGGGGACCACCAGGUCGUCAGUGCCGCAGCGGUGCAAGGACAAGAGAGAGAGGGCGUGGAGCUCCGACUGAGAGAGGGUGCUUAUGUCUAUAUGGGUUAAAGAGCCUAAGGGAAGCCUUGUGCUCGUCUCAGUAGCGCCAUGGUGGCCAUAGCCGCCUUUGUGGCAGAUCACUCGGUCCGUCAGUGUAACCAAAUGUUGGGACGGGUUUGGGUUUGGGUUUGGGUUUGGGAAAUGAGGUUUCAGUUUUUGAGAAACAUCACUCCAGUCGUUCACCUGGCAUGGAGAAGCAGAGAACCGGCACACCGC